RNAcentral lists this ribosomal RNA (3205 nucleotides) under Juglans mandshurica. RNAcentral's name for it is "eukaryotic LSU rRNA". It matches the Rfam family "Eukaryotic large subunit ribosomal RNA", at positions 1 to 2430 of the family's 3401-position model. Lineage: Eukaryota; Viridiplantae; Streptophyta; Magnoliopsida; Fagales; Juglandaceae. The record is from RNAcentral.
CCUAGCGCUAAGGCUCGAUGGGAUGGUGCGCAAGCAUUGUCAUUUUCCGAAGAGGCCAUCGAGCGGUGCAGCGUUACAAACCGCAAUGUUUAGUAGUGUCUUUGGUAGUAAUGUAAAAGUUGCUGCCCAUAGCCUAGCAUGCAAGUUCCAUUGACUUGGACUAAUUGUAAAUGACUAUGAUCUUGGGGCAACUUGAGAUUUUUAGUUGAGCCAGAGCGGGUGUAAGCCCCAUACCGUGCAGGCAUUGGCAUUACGAAUUGUGGCUGGCAUUCGCAAGAGUGUCAACUUUGUUAGAGUCGAGUUGCUUGAGAGUGCAACUUAAAGUGCGAGGUAAACUACUCGUAAGGCUAUUUGUAAUACGGCUACGACACCGAUAGCAAACAAGUACCGUGAGGGAAAGUUGAAAUAGAACUUUGCAGAGAGAGUUAACAGGGCGUGAAACCGUUAAUUGGCAAACGAAUCGGAGCCACGAAGUCGUUUCGUUGUAAGUUGGGCGGAGUUCAGUGAGCGUUGAAAGGCGCUUGCGUAUUCUCGCUGCUCAACCAACUUUGUAAGCGUACACUGCAACUAGUUAGACGAUCACGCCGUGGGCUGAGUGCUUCGGAGCGAGCAAUCGCUUAGUUGUGCGCACUGCUUGUUUGUGCGCGGUAGUAGUAGCGCGGUUGUGCCUCGGUGCUUCUCGUGUUGCUGGCCGCGUGCGAGAGAACUACGGCUGAAUACUGACUGGCGAAAUGAAAACCGUUGAAAAAGACGUUAGAGAAAAGGCGGUUAACCGCAUGUGCGUCUACACGCUCGACUGUUGAGUCUAAGCUUGGCGUCUUUGAAUUCAGACUUGCUUGCUACCAGUGGGGCAACUCCUGGUGCUUGUAUUGCUUCUGUCUAAUCGGGCGUCGACUUGGCGCGGCAUCGUUCGUGGCGUGAACCGCUCGGGUGUGCAUGCGAGCUAAUUCGCAAUUUGAAUUGGCAGUGAGUAGGUCGGCUUUCCGAACGACCCGUCUUGAAACACGGACCAAGGAGUCUAAUUGGGCAUCGAGUCGAUCGGUCUUGAAUAGGCCAGAGAAGGGUGUUCGCACUCUAGUUGAAGGCGUAGAGAAAUCAAAUCGUGUGAUCGCUUUGGCAACAACAGCCAUCGUGCGCAACAUGUGCCUGUUCGUAUGGCAACUGUUAGCAAUAACUUGCCGGGCGGAGCAAAGAGAUGCCCGAUUGGGACCCGAAAGAUGGUGAACUAUGCCUGGGCAAAUUGAAGCCAGAGGAAACUCUGGUGGAGGAUUGUAGCGAUUCUGACGUGCAAAUCGAUCGUCAGACCUGGGUAUAGGGGCGAAAGACUAAUCGAACCAUCUAGUAGCUGGUUCCCUCCGAAGUUUCCCUAAGGAUAGCUAGCGCUCGUGACUUGUGAAUAGUUUCAUCUGGUAAAGCUAAUGAUUAGAGGAAUUGGGAGCGAAACGCUCUCAACCUAUUCUCAAACUUUAAAUGGGUGAGAUGCGUGACAUGCUUAAGUGAUGCCACGUUAUUUUAGAGAAUAUAUUGAGCGCUAAGUGGGCCAUUUUUGGUAAGCAGAACUGGCGAUGCGGGAUGAACCGAAAGUAAAGUUAAAGUUGCCGAUAAUAGCGUUGAAGAAAUUGGACGUUCGCUACACUCAUGAGAUCCCAUAAAAGGUGUGACCCGCUGAAGACAGCAAGGAUGUGGCCAUGGAAGUUGGAAUCAUCUAAGGAGUGUGUAACAACUCACUUGCCGAAGCGCGUCGCCCUGAAAAUGGAAGCAGCUUGAGUGUUGAACUUAUACUUUGCCGUUGAAACAUAAUGAACAAUAGGUAGGUUUCAACGUGUAGGAGGGUUGUGUUGGUAGCAUUGAAGGGUAUGAGGGAGUGAUCCUGCCUGGAGCUGCCAAUAGUACAGAUCUUGGUGGUAGUAGCAAAUACUCAAGUGAGACCCUUGAGGGCCAAUGUGGAGAAGGGUUCCAUGCUAACAGCAAUUGAACAUGGGUCAGUCGGUCCUAAGAGAAUGGCGAAAGCUAUUUCUGAAUCAAAGGCGGUGUAUAGCAAUGUAAAUUACUAAAAACAAGUAGAAUGUGUAGUGAAUAUGGGUAUGUGACUUGUAUUUGUUUACAAAUGAACGUAGUUUUUGAAAAAAAACUUGUACAUAAAGACAACGUGCUUCAGUCAAAACCCAAAUAAAAAACAUUUGCACAUUCUCAUUUGCAAUUAGAAUAUCACCGUAUGACUCGAAAGGGAAUAAGGUUAAUAUUCCUUAACCAAGAUGGGGAGAUUAUCGUUGGAUUGUGCUUCGGUAUGGUUCAAUUGAUAUUGGCGGUAACGCAAACAAGCGCGUCGACGCCGUCGGCAGAAUGGGGAAGAGUUGUCUUUUCUUUCUAAGUUUACUUAGUUUUCAACGAGUCCCUGGAAUCGAUUCACUCGAAGAUAGGCGAUGUAGUAAACGUAAAAUCAUACGGUUCUAGUAUGAUCCCAAUUUCUGUUGACGGCCCUUGAAAAGACGCGUAAGCGGAGCUAGUAGGCUCUCUUUCGGGGGAGUUUGUUAGCGUUGAUUCUCUCACUUGGCCGUACCAAUAUCCGCAUCAGGUCUCCAAGGUUAGCAGCCUCUGGUCACUUAGGAUAAUGUAGGUAAGGGAAGUCGGCAAAUUAGUUCCGUAACUUAGGGAAAAGGAAUGGCUCUGAGGGCUGAGUUGGUCGGGCCGUAUUGUUUGAUUUUGGUUACGAGUUCUGUUUGUGCUGAUUAAGUUUACUAGCUUAUCUUUCGGGGUAUGUUUAGAGAAUUUAAAUGGCGCGAAUGUCUCUGCCAGGAUUGACUGCGGCUGCCCUCAAGUGUAUGUUGUCUCACGAUUUCAUAUGUUUGGUCAAGGGUUAUCGGUCAACAAUUAACAGCCGAAUCAGAACUGGCACGGACUCCGGGAAUCCGACUGUCUAAUUAAAACAAAGCAAGCUGAAGGCCGUCAUCGGUGUUGACAGCUUGUGAUUUCUGCCCAGUGCUUUGAAUGUUAUAUAUUUGAGAUGAUAUUAAGCGCAAGUAAACGGCGGGAGUAACUAUGACUCUCUUCUGGUAGCCAAAUGCCUCGUCAUCUAAUUAGUGACGCGCAUGAAUGGAUUAACGAGAUUCCCACUGUCCCUAUCUACUACCUAGCGAAACCACAGCCAAGGGAACGGGCUUGGCAAAAUCAGCGGGGAAAGAAGACCCUGUUGAGCUUGACUCUA